AUACGGGGGGUGCAAGCGUUGUUCGGAUUUACUGGGCGUAAAGGGCGCGUAGGCGGCACUGUAAGUCAGAUGUGAAAGUCCAGGGCUUAACCCUGGAAGUGCAUCUGAUACUGCAGAGCUUGAGUAUCGGAGGGGAAAGUAGAAUUCCCGGUGUAGAGGUGAAAUUCGUAGAUAUCGGGAGGAAUACCGGUGGCGAAGGCGACUUUCUGGACGAAUACUGACGCUGAUGCGCGAAAGCGUGGGGAGC
This 247-nucleotide ribosomal RNA is filed under the name uncultured bacterium. Its description in RNAcentral is "partial 16S ribosomal RNA". It matches the Rfam family "Bacterial small subunit ribosomal RNA", at positions 523 to 769 of the family's 1533-position model. The record is from RNAcentral.